UACGAAGGGGGCUAGCGUUGUUCGGAAUCACUGGGCGUAAAGCGUACGUAGGCGGAUUGCUAAGUCAGGGGUGAAAUCCCGAGGCUCAACCUCGGAACUGCCUUUGAUACUGGCUGUCUUGAGUCCGGGAGAGGUGAGUGGAACUCCUAGUGUAGAGGUGAAAUUCGUAGAUAUUAGGAAGAACACCAGUGGCGAAGGCGGCUCACUGGCCCGGAACUGACGCUGAUGUACGAAAGCGUGGGGAGCAAACAGG
RNAcentral lists this ribosomal RNA (253 nucleotides) under uncultured bacterium. Its description in RNAcentral is "partial 16S ribosomal RNA". It matches the Rfam family "Bacterial small subunit ribosomal RNA", at positions 524 to 776 of the family's 1533-position model. The record is from RNAcentral.